This 119-nucleotide ribosomal RNA is filed under the name Triticum aestivum (bread wheat). Lineage: Eukaryota; Viridiplantae; Streptophyta; Magnoliopsida; Poales; Poaceae. The record is from RNAcentral. RNAcentral also lists the same sequence under 1 other name.
GGAUGCGAUCAUACCAGCACUAAAGCACCGGAUCCCAUCAGAACUCCGAAGUUAAGCGUGCUUGGGUGAGAGUAGUACUAGGAUGGGUGACGUCCUGGGAAGUCCUCGUGUUGCAUUCC